RNAcentral lists this ribosomal RNA (229 nucleotides) under uncultured bacterium. RNAcentral's name for it is "partial 16S ribosomal RNA". It matches the Rfam family "Bacterial small subunit ribosomal RNA", at positions 28 to 260 of the family's 1533-position model. The record is from RNAcentral.
GACGAACGCUGGCGGCGUGCUCAACACAUGCAAGUCGAGCGGUAAGGCCCUCGGGUACGACGAGCGGCGAACGGGUGAGUAACACGUGGGUGACCUGCCUUUAGCUCUGGGAUAAGCCUGGGAAACGUGGGUCUAAUACCGGAUAUGACCUCAUGACGCAUGUUGUGGGGUGGAAAGCCUUGUGCGGCUAGAGAUGGGCCCGCGGCCUAUCAGCUUGUUGGUGGGGUGA